Non-coding RNA from Caenorhabditis elegans, 251 nucleotides. The record is from Ensembl. NCBI's taxonomy places the organism in Eukaryota, Metazoa, Nematoda, Chromadorea, Rhabditida, Rhabditidae.
GCCGCAAGAGCUCAAUGCUCUGGCGAGCCGCCACGCACUAACAAAAAACUCUUGUUGAACUCAUUUCAAGUGGAUUCCACUUCUCCAAUUUGAUGAUCACAGGGAGGGGAGAUAGGAGUGUAGAUGAGUGAAGAGAUAAAUGUUUGAAAAACUAGAUAGUAUAACUGGUUGCGAUAUCUUCGGCUUGAGGUGAUAACUGCUUUGUAAAUAGGUAAAUACUACAAAGUGAAAUUAUCAAGAGGUCAAAAAAC